This 253-nucleotide ribosomal RNA is filed under the name uncultured bacterium. RNAcentral's name for it is "partial 16S ribosomal RNA". It matches the Rfam family "Bacterial small subunit ribosomal RNA", at positions 524 to 776 of the family's 1533-position model. The record is from RNAcentral.
UACGAGGGGGGCAAAUGUUGUUCGGAAUCACUGGGCGUAAAGGGAGCGUAGGCGGGUUUCUAAGUCAGGUGUUUAAUCCCGGGGCCCAACCCCGGACAGGCACUUGAAACUGGGAAUCUUGAAUAGUGGAGAGGUCAGUGGAAUUGGGGGUGUAGCGGUGGAAUGCGUAGGGAUCCCCAAGAACACCAGUUGCGAAGGCGGCUGACUGGACACAUAUUGACGCUGAGGCUCGAAAGCAUGGGGAGCAAACAGG